GUUAAGCGACUAAGCGUACACGGUGGAUGCCCUGGCAGUCAGAGGCGAUGAAGGACGUGCUAAUCUGCGAUAAGCGUCGGUAAGGUGAUAUGAACCGUUAUAACCGGCGAUUUCCGAAUGGGGAAACCCAGUGUGUUUCGACACACUAUCAUUAACUGAAUCCAUAGGUUAAUGAGGCGAACCGGGGGAACUGAAACAUCUAAGUACCCCGAGGAAAAGAAAUCAACCGAGAUUCCCCCAGUAGCGGCGAGCGAACGGGGAGCAGCCCAGAGCCUGAAUCAGUGUGUGUGUUAGUGGAAGCGUCUGGAAAGGCGCGCGAUACAGGGUGACAGCCCCGUACACAAAAAUGCACAUGCUGUGAGCUCGAUGAGUAGGGCGGGACACGUGGUAUCCUGUCUGAAUAUGGGGGGACCAUCCUCCAAGGCUAAAUACUCCUGACUGACCGAUAGUGAACCAGUACCGUGAGGGAAAGGCGAAAAGAACCCCGGCGAGGGGAGUGAAAAAGAACCUGAAACCGUGUACGUACAAGCAGUGGGAGCACGCUUCGGCGUGUGACUGCGUACCUUUUGUAUAAUGGGUCAGCGACUUA
This 589-nucleotide ribosomal RNA is filed under the name Escherichia coli. RNAcentral's name for it is "partial 23S ribosomal RNA". It matches the Rfam family "Bacterial large subunit ribosomal RNA", at positions 1 to 630 of the family's 2925-position model. Lineage: Bacteria; Pseudomonadati; Pseudomonadota; Gammaproteobacteria; Enterobacterales; Enterobacteriaceae. The record is from RNAcentral.